Molecule: long non-coding RNA, 434 nt
Organism: Mytilus californianus (California mussel)
Lineage: Eukaryota; Metazoa; Mollusca; Bivalvia; Mytilida; Mytilidae
Exons: 3
Source: RefSeq, a predicted model, not a curated record
ACAGGUACAUUUUCUUUCUGAUUCGUUACCUUUAUUGAUCGAUUCAAAAUCGAUAGGAAUUGUUCAAAUGUGAAGUCAUCACGAUUGAUUCUGACGAUUGUCAUCUUACGCCAGCCAAAUAUUGUGCGCCGCAGUAAAUAAACGGAUAAAUUUCAUAAAGAUAGUAGUAAUAAUAUUUAUGGAACUAUUAUAGUCAUAUGUUAAAAGUAUAAAUGAAAAGUAUUAUGAAUAUUAAAUCCAGUUGACGUUAUAUGACAGUGAUGAAAUUGUUUUAUAAAAAUGUAUCAGUUUCGCAACUUGAUACAUAAGAAUUUCAAAAUGACAGAUUACCUAACAGGACUUAUAUCUUGGCUUUUAUUUUCUGUGAUUGAAGCGAAGUCAAAUUCAACAGAUUCGGGUAGAUUUGGAGGAUUAACAGAUGAUAUGAUAAAAGG